Non-coding RNA from Podarcis lilfordi (Lilford's wall lizard), 75 nucleotides. NCBI's taxonomy places the organism in Eukaryota, Metazoa, Chordata, Lepidosauria, Squamata, Lacertidae. The record is from the annotation of a GenBank genome assembly.
GGAAGGGCAGUACCUCCAUGGUAGAGUAUCUGCUUUGCAUGCAGAAGAUCUGUGGUUUGAUUCCCAGCACUUCCA